Molecule: ribosomal RNA, 429 nt
Filed under: Chloroflexota bacterium
Lineage: Bacteria; Bacillati; Chloroflexota
Description: Chloroflexi bacterium partial 16S ribosomal RNA
Rfam family: Bacterial small subunit ribosomal RNA
Source: RNAcentral
UGGGGAAUAUUGCACAAUGGGCGCAAGCCUGAUGCAGCCAUGCCGCGUGUAUGAAGAAGGCCUUCGGGUUGUAAAGUACUUUCAGUCGGGAGGAAGGUGUCAAGGUUAAUAACCUUGGCAAUUGACGUUACCGACAGAAGAAGCACCGGCUAACUCCGUGCCAGCAGCCGCGGUAAUACGGAGUGUGCAAGCGUUAAUCGGAAUUACUGGGCGUAAAGCGCACGCAGGCGGUUGAUUGAGUCAGAUGUGAAAUCCCCGGGCUUAACCCGGGAAUUGCAUCUGAUACUGGUCAGCUAGAGUCUUGUAGAGGGGGGUAGAAUUCCAUGUGUAGCGGUGAAAUGCGUAGAGAUGUGGAGGAAUACCGGUGGCGAAGGCGGCCCCCUGGACAAAGACUGACGCUCAGGUGCGAAAGCGUGGGGAGCAAACAGG